RNAcentral lists this transfer RNA (68 nucleotides) under Exilisciurus exilis (least pygmy squirrel). RNAcentral describes it as "tRNA-Lys". It matches the Rfam family "tRNA". From Rfam's summary of the family: Transfer RNA (tRNA) molecules are approximately 80 nucleotides in length. Lineage: Eukaryota; Metazoa; Chordata; Mammalia; Rodentia; Sciuridae. The record is from RNAcentral.
CAUUGUGAAGCUAAUCUAGCGUUAACCUUUUAAGUUAGAGAUUGGGAACUCAAACCUCCCCAUAAUGA